Molecule: ribosomal RNA, 958 nt
Filed under: uncultured Sterolibacterium sp.
Lineage: Bacteria; Pseudomonadati; Pseudomonadota; Betaproteobacteria; Nitrosomonadales; Sterolibacteriaceae
Description: bacterial SSU rRNA
Rfam family: Bacterial small subunit ribosomal RNA
Source: RNAcentral
AGAGUUUGAUCAUGGCUCAGAUUGAACGCUGGCGGAAUGCUUUACACAUGCAAGUCGAGCGGCAGCGCGGGAAGGGUAACCGGACUGGCGGCGAGCGGCGAACGGGUGAGUAACACAUCGGAACGUACCCAGUCGUGGGGGAUAACGUGGCGAAAGUCACGCUAAUACCGCAUACGUCCUGAGGGAGAAAGCGGGGGAUCGGUAACGACCUCGCGCGAUUGGAGCGGCCGAUGACUGAUUAGCUAGUUGGUGGGGUAAAGGCCUACCAAGGCGACGAUCAGUAGCUGGUCUGAGAGGACGACCAGCCACACUGGGACUGAGACACGGCCCAGACUCCUACGGGAGGCAGCAGUGGGGAAUUUUGGACAAUGGGCGCAAGCCUGAUCCAGCCAUUCCGCGUGAGUGAAGAAGGCCUUCGGGUUGUAAAGCUCUUUCGGCAGGGAAGAAACGGUGGGGGCUAAUAUCCGCUACUAAUGACGGUACCUGAAGAAGAAGCACCGGCUAACUACGUGCCAGCAGCCGCGGUAAUACGUAGGGUGCGAGCGUUAAUCGGAAUUACUGGGCGUAAAGCGUGCGCAGGUGGUUGUUUAAGACAGAUGUGAAAUCCCCGGGCUCAACCUGGGAACUGCGUUUGUGACUGGACAGCUAGAGUGCGGCAGAGGGGGGUGGAAUUCCACGUGUAGCAGUGAAAUGCGUAGAGAUGUGGAGGAACACCGAUGGCGAAGGCAGCCCCCUGGGCCAGCACUGACGCUCAUGCACGAAAGCGUGGGGAGCAAACAGGAUUAGAUACCCUGGUAGUCCACGCCCUAAGCGAUGUCAACUAGGUGUUGGGGAAGGAGACUUUCUUAGUACCGCAGCUAACGCGUGAAGUUGACCGCCUGGGGAGUACGGUCGCAAGAUUAAAACUCAAAAGGAAUUGACGGGGACCCGCACAAGCGGUGGAUGAUGUGGAUUAAUC